Molecule: transfer RNA, 69 nt
Filed under: Xantusia bezyi
Lineage: Eukaryota; Metazoa; Chordata; Lepidosauria; Squamata; Xantusiidae
Description: tRNA-Met
Source: RNAcentral
AGUAAAGUCAGCUAAUAAAGCUUUCGGGCCCAUACCCCGAAAAUGUUGGUUUAACACCCUCCUUUACCA